Molecule: transfer RNA, 56 nt
Filed under: Loxosomella aloxiata
Lineage: Eukaryota; Metazoa; Entoprocta; Loxosomatidae
Description: tRNA-Cys
Source: RNAcentral
UGAGUAACAAUAUAAAACUGCAGAUUUUGAGGGGCAGAAGUUAUCUGCAUAGGUUU